This 352-nucleotide ribosomal RNA is filed under the name uncultured bacterium. RNAcentral's name for it is "bacterial SSU rRNA". It matches the Rfam family "Bacterial small subunit ribosomal RNA", at positions 8 to 349 of the family's 1533-position model. The record is from RNAcentral.
AGAGUUUGAUCAUGGCUCAGGAUGAACGCUAGCUACAGGCUUAACACAUGCAAGUCGAGGGGAAACGACAUCGAAAGCUUGCUUUUGAUGGGCGUCGACCGGCGCACGGGUGAGUAACGCGUAUCCAACCUGCCCAUCACUUGGGGAUAACCUUGCGAAAGUAAGACUAAUACCCAAUGACGUCUCUAGAAGACAUCUGAAAGAGAUUAAAGAUUUAUCGGUGAUGGAUGGGGAUGCGUCUGAUUAGCUUGUGGGCGGGGUAACGGCCACCAAGGCGACGAUCAGGUAGGGGUUCUGAGAGGACGGUCCCCANAUUGGAACUGAGACACGGUCCAAACUCCGUACGGGAGCA